UACACAUGCAAGUCGAACGAUAAGCUAGACUUCGGUUUAGUGGACAGUGGCAGACGGGUGAGUAACGCGUGGGAAUCUACCUUUGAGUGGGGAAUAACAAUUAGAAAUGAUUGCUAAUACCGCAUAUACCCUCCGGGGGAAAGGCUUCGGCCGCUCUUAGAUGAGCCCGCGUACGAUUAGUUUGUUGGUGAGGUAAAGGCUCACCAAGACUACGAUCGUUAGCUGGUUUGAGAGGAUGAUCAGCCACACUGGGACUGAGACACGGCCCAGACUCCUACGGGAGGCAGCAGUGGGGAAUAUUGGACAAUGGGCGAAAGCCUGAUCCAGCCAUGCCGCGUGAGUGAAGAAGGCCUUAGGGUUGUAAAACUCUUUCGACAGGGAAGAUAAUGACGGUACCUGUAUAAGAAGCUCCGGCUAACUCCGUGCCAGCAGCCGCGGUAAUACGGAGGGGGCAAGCGUUGCUCGGAAUUACUGGGCGUAAAGCGAGCGUAGGCGGUUAGUCAAGUUGGUGGUGAAAGCCCGGAGCUCAACUCCGGAACUGCCAUCAAAACUGACUU
Molecule: ribosomal RNA, 557 nt
Filed under: uncultured bacterium
Lineage: Bacteria
Description: bacterial SSU rRNA
Rfam family: Bacterial small subunit ribosomal RNA
Source: RNAcentral